GAAGCAAAGCCAGACACCCAUGGAGAGCUCACCAUGGCCUGGGUCCUGCUCCUCCUUGGCCUUCUCAGCUACUUCUCAGGUGCCCGUUCACAGCCAACAGUGACCCAGCCUGCCUCUGCCUCCGCAUCUCCGGGACAAACCGUGAAACUCUCCUGCACCAGUAGCAGUGGUGGGAGUUGGGGCAGCUUCUCUUGGUAUCAACAGAAACCAGGACAGGCCCCUCGCUUUGUGCUCUACGGUUCCAGCACCCGGGGAGAAGGGAUCCCGGAUCGAUUCAUUGGUUCAACCUCUGGGAACACUGGCUAUUUAACAAUCACUGACAUUCAGGCUGAUGACGAGGGAGAUUAUUACUGUGCUGCUUGGUAUGGAACUGAUGAUGUGUUUCAUGGUGGUGCAGUCUGAUGGGGAACUAAGACAGAAACCUUCAGAGCAAAGAAAGAAAAUUGCAACAGAUGCUACAGCAUCACUCUCUCCUGUCCCAUAAUACUCCUUUUUUCCCAUUGGACUAUAAACUGAUAUUUGUUGGUUCAUCGUUUUUUUAAAAAACUUUUAAUCUUUAUUGCGUUUAAAAAAGCAAUUAUAAAAAUAAGUAAACAAU
Non-coding RNA from Pogona vitticeps (central bearded dragon), 598 nucleotides. Lineage: Eukaryota; Metazoa; Chordata; Lepidosauria; Squamata; Agamidae. The record is from the annotation of a RefSeq genome assembly.